UACGAAGGGAGCUAGCGUUGUUCGGAAUCACUGGGCGUAAAGCGCACGUAGGCGGAUUUGUCAGUCGGGGGUGAAAUCCCGAGGCUCAACCUCGGAACUGCCUCCGAUACAGCCAAGCUCGAGUCCGGGAGAGGGGGGCGGAAUUCCUGGUGUAGAGGUGAAAUUCGUAGAUAUUGGGAGGAACACCAGCGGCGAAGGCGGCCUGCUGGCCGGUGACUGACGCUGAGACGCGAAAGCGUGGGGAGCAAACAGG
RNAcentral lists this ribosomal RNA (253 nucleotides) under uncultured bacterium. RNAcentral's name for it is "partial 16S ribosomal RNA". It matches the Rfam family "Bacterial small subunit ribosomal RNA", at positions 524 to 776 of the family's 1533-position model. The record is from RNAcentral.